Molecule: long non-coding RNA, 1211 nt
Filed under: Capsicum annuum
Lineage: Eukaryota; Viridiplantae; Streptophyta; Magnoliopsida; Solanales; Solanaceae
Description: long non-coding RNA (CANN_LNC006448)
Source: RNAcentral
ACAAGGAGGAAGACACCCCCGUCGAGAAAACUACCUAUGGUGAAACAACCUAUGGAGAUAGUGAAAAAACUAGCUCUGGUGGUGAUAAUACAUAUGGCGAAAAAACUAGUGCCUAUGGAGAUAAUACAUAUGGAGAAAAAACUAGCACCUAUGGAGAUAACACUACAUAUGGUGAGAAAACUAGUUAUGGUGAUAAUACAUAUGGUGAAAAAACUAGCACCUACGGAGGAGAUAACACGUAUGGAGGUGAGAAAACUAGUUAUAGUGAUAAUACAUAUGGCGAAAAACCUAGCACCUACGGAGGAGAUAACACGUAUGGAGGUGAGAAAACUAGCUAUGGUGGAGGAGAUACGUAUGGAGAUAACAAAUAUGGUGAGAAAACCAGCACCUAUGGUGAGAAUACAUAUGGAGAGAAAACUAGUUAUGGUGGAACUGAGGAAGGUGGCUAUGGUGGAGGAGCUGCUGCCUAUUCAUCUGAGACUACUAAUUAUGAAGACACCACUGAAACCAAAACUGCUGAGGAUUAUAAGGAAGAGAAAAAACACCACAAGCAUCUUGAACAUGUCGGAGAACUCGGUGCCGUUGCCGCUGGCGCCUUUGCUUUGGUAAAUAAUUUUCCUAACAAUUAAUACGCCUAUGAUAGUAUUUACUGUGUGAGCAAAAUAUCCUUAAGGACAUUACUUUUCUUGACACACCAUAACCUAAAUUCUAUGUAUUCUCCAUAUGUAGUAGUGAUUUUUGCAACAAAAAUUUGCAAGAUAUACUAAUCAUGCAUCUAAAAGAUCACUAGUACGUGUAAUUGCCUAUGAUAAGUGAAAUUAAUAAUUCAAGACAUGUAAUGGUGACCACAUUUUUAAUUACUUUAAUACGGCCGGGUCUAACUUUUCCUUUUGAUGAUCACUUAAUUUCUUCCAUUAAUCUUUUUGGUGUGAAUGAAUGUUUCAGCAUGAGAAGCACAAGAUAGAGAAGGACCCAGAGAACGCACACAGGCACAAGAUAGAGGAAGGAAUAGCAGCAGCAGCCGCAAUUGGGUCAGGUGGAUUUGCAUUCCAUGAGCAUCAUGAGAAAAAGGAAGCAAAGGAAGAACAAGAGGAAGCUGAGGGAAAGAAGAAACAUCAUUUCUUCUAAUUUUCUCUCAUCAUAGCAUUUCUUUUCUUCCAAAAUAUAUGAUGUUAUGAGCUUUGUGUGCUUGCUCUAUCCUUGUUUGUUAU